CGGGGUGUGGCUCAGUUUGGCUAGAGUGCUUGAUUUGGGAUCAAGAGGUCGCAGGUUCAAAUCCUGUCACCCCGA
This is a transfer RNA of Herbinix sp., 75 nucleotides long. It matches the Rfam family "tRNA". Rfam says of the family: Transfer RNA (tRNA) molecules are approximately 80 nucleotides in length. Their secondary structure includes four short double-helical elements and three loops (D, anti-codon, and T loops). Lineage: Bacteria; Bacillati; Bacillota; Clostridia; Lachnospirales; Lachnospiraceae. The record is from Rfam.